UAUAUACUUACACCACCUACGCCAGGGUACUACGAGCUUUAGCUUAAAACCCAAAGGACUUGACGGUGUCCCAUCCAACUAGAGGAGCCUGUUCUAUAAUCGAUAACCCCCGAUAUACCUAACCUCACCUUGCCAAUCAGCCUGUAUACCUCCGUCGCAAACUUACCAUAUGAAUGCCAACAGUAAGUUUAAUGAUUUUAUCACCAACACGUCAGGUCAAGGUGCAGCUCAUGAUGAGGAAGAAAUGGGCUACAAUUUCUAAAAUAGAACUCACGGAAUGCUACAUGAAACACAGCACAAAGGCGGAUUUAGUAGUAAAAAGAAAAUAAAGUGUCCUUCUUAAUAAGGCCCUGGGACGUGUACACACCGCCCGUCACCCUCUUCAACAGCACAUAAUGUGUAUUUAACAAUUUUUGCACUUUAGAAGAGGCAAGUCGUAACAUGGUAAGUGUACUGGAAAGUGCACUUGGAUUA
Molecule: ribosomal RNA, 474 nt
Filed under: Limnonectes jarujini
Lineage: Eukaryota; Metazoa; Chordata; Amphibia; Anura; Dicroglossidae
Description: partial 12S ribosomal RNA
Rfam family: Bacterial small subunit ribosomal RNA
Source: RNAcentral